This 460-nucleotide ribosomal RNA is filed under the name uncultured bacterium. RNAcentral describes it as "partial 16S ribosomal RNA". It matches the Rfam family "Bacterial small subunit ribosomal RNA", at positions 338 to 795 of the family's 1533-position model. The record is from RNAcentral.
CCUACGGGUGGCAGCAGUGAGGAAUAUUGGUCAAUGGGCGGAAGCCUGAACCAGCCAAGUAGCGUGCAGGAUGACGGCCCUACGGGUUGUAAACUGCUUUUAUACGGGAAUAACGCGCCUUACGUGUAGGGCUUUGCAUGUACCGUAUGAAUAAGGACCGGCUAAUUCCGUGCCAGCAGCCGCGGUAAUACGGAAGGUCCGGGCGUUAUCCGGCUUUAUUGGGUUGAAAGGGGGGUUAGGCCGCAUGGCAAGCGUGCUGUGAAAUGUCCGGGCUCAACCCGGGCCUUGCAGCGCGAACUGGCGUGCGUGAGUCCGCGGAAAGCAGGCGGAAUUCGUCGUGUAGCGGGGAAAUGCUUAGAUAUGACGAAGAACCCCGAUUGCGAAGGCAGCUUGCUGCAGCGGAACUGACGGUGAUGCUCGAAAGCGCGGGUAUCGAACAGGAAUAGAUACCCGGGUAGUC